This 487-nucleotide ribosomal RNA is filed under the name Bacillus sp. D2(2007). RNAcentral's name for it is "bacterial SSU rRNA". It matches the Rfam family "Bacterial small subunit ribosomal RNA", at positions 55 to 523 of the family's 1533-position model. Lineage: Bacteria; Bacillati; Bacillota; Bacilli; Caryophanales; Bacillaceae. The record is from RNAcentral.
AUGCAGUCGAGCGAAUGGAUUAAGAGCUUGCUCUUAUGAAGUUAGCGGCGGACGGGUGAGUAACACGUGGGUAACCUACCCAUAAGACUGGGAUAACUCCGGGAAACCGGGGCUAAUACCGGAUAAUAUUUUGAACUGCAUAGUUCGAAAUUGAAAGGCGGCUUCGGCUGUCACUUAUGGAUGGACCCGCGUCGCAUUAGCUAGUUGGUGAGGUAACGGCUCACCAAGGCGACGAUGCGUAGCCGACCUGAGAGGGUGAUCGGCCACACUGGGACUGAGACACGGCCCAGACUCSUACGGGAGGCAGCAGUAGGGAAUCUUCCGCAAUGGACGAAAGUCUGACGGAGCAACGCCGCGUGAGUGAUGAAGGCUUUCGGGUCGUAAAACUCUGUUGUUAGGGAAGAACAAGUGCUAGUUGAAUAAGCUGGCACCUUGACGGUACCUAACCAGAAAGCCACGGCUAACUACGUGCCAGCAGCCGCGGUAA